This 75-nucleotide transfer RNA is filed under the name Verrucomicrobiota bacterium. RNAcentral's name for it is "tRNA-Val". It matches the Rfam family "tRNA". From Rfam's summary of the family: Transfer RNA (tRNA) molecules are approximately 80 nucleotides in length. RNAcentral also lists the same sequence under 7 other names. Lineage: Bacteria; Pseudomonadati; Verrucomicrobiota. The record is from RNAcentral.
GCGCGCUUAGCUCAGUGGUAGAGCAUUACCUUCACACGGUAGGGGUCGUAGGUUCGAAACCUACAGCGCGCACCA